RNAcentral lists this ribosomal RNA (246 nucleotides) under uncultured Atopobium sp. RNAcentral's name for it is "partial 16S ribosomal RNA". It matches the Rfam family "Bacterial small subunit ribosomal RNA", at positions 268 to 525 of the family's 1533-position model. The record is from RNAcentral. Lineage: Bacteria; Bacillati; Actinomycetota; Coriobacteriia; Coriobacteriales; Atopobiaceae.
CCAAGGCAAUGAUGGGUAGCCGGGUUGAGAGACCGACCGGCCAGAUUGGGACUGAGACACGGCCCAGACUCUACGGAGGCAGCAGUGGGGAAUCUUGCACAAUGGGCGAAAGCCUGAUGCAGCGACGCCGCGUGCGGGAUGAAGGCCUUCGGGUUGUAAACCGCUUUCAGCAGGGGACGAGGCCGCAAGGUGACGGUACCUGCAGAAGAAGCCCCGGCUAACUACGUGCCAGCAGCCGCGGUAAAU